UGCUUUGUUAUGGACACAAGAUAACUCGGUGCAGAUUGGUUAGUCACCAUGCCGAGAUUAUAUGAACGUUGAGUAUUGACAUAGAAGGAUACUUUUGUGUAGGUACUUUUGGUAUAUUGUGAGAUAUAUCAAGUAGACGGAAACUGUCAAUAACAAAUAUAAGUGCAAAACAUUAUCGCAGCAAAAAGUAGAUUUCAGGACGUUGGUAUAAUAGACGCUCACUCGGUGAGAAGAAUCUUGAGGCUUGCUAGGUGGAACUGUGCAAGAUUGUAGAGAAAAUCCAAAUAAGCCAAUUGUGUCGUUGAUACGCAGAAAUGUGUGUAUAAGCCCUGUUUAUCGUCCGAGUAGCCCAAAUCGACAUUAAAAUAAAACACAUAUAAUAGAAGAAUUUAUAAACAAAAAAUCUUUUCUGAAUGACAUGGGUGAAAGAUAGAGGUAAUCAGUCCUCUUUAUUCUUGAUGCUUAAUGCAUUGCUAUAGAAGUAAUGAGGUAGCUCCUUAUUGCUCAGACUAUAGCAGAUAAUGACUGAAUAUUGGUACGAUUUUGUGUUUGUAAGGCGAAGGUCUGUUUUGUGUUCAUUAUAAAG
RNAcentral lists this non-coding RNA (586 nucleotides) under unclassified sequences. Its description in RNAcentral is "ROOL RNA". It matches the Rfam family "ROOL RNA". Rfam says of the family: Firmicutes, Fusobacteria (1 example), Tenericutes (1 example). Environment (Cow rumen (57)) The record is from Rfam by way of RNAcentral.